ACUUCUUAGAGGGAUAAGCGGUGUUUAACCGCACGAGAUUGAGCGAUAACAGGUCUGUGAUGCCCUUAGAUGUCCGGGGCUGCACGCGCGCUACACUGGAAAAAUCAGCUGGUCUUCCAUUGCCGAAAGGUAUUGGCAAACCGUUGAAACUUUUCCGUGACCGGGAUAGGGAAUUGUAAUUAUUUCCCUUGAACGAGGAAUUCCUAGUAAGUGUGAGUCAUCAGCUCACGUUGAUUACGUCCCUGCCCUUUGUACUGAGCG
RNAcentral lists this ribosomal RNA (261 nucleotides) under Halomonhystera disjuncta. RNAcentral describes it as "partial small subunit ribosomal RNA". It matches the Rfam family "Eukaryotic small subunit ribosomal RNA", at positions 1406 to 1665 of the family's 1831-position model. RNAcentral also lists the same sequence under 1 other name. Lineage: Eukaryota; Metazoa; Nematoda; Chromadorea; Monhysterida; Monhysteridae. The record is from RNAcentral.